This 75-nucleotide transfer RNA is filed under the name Acidobacteriota bacterium. Its description in RNAcentral is "Acidobacteria bacterium tRNA-Cys". It matches the Rfam family "tRNA". From Rfam's summary of the family: Transfer RNA (tRNA) molecules are approximately 80 nucleotides in length. Their secondary structure includes four short double-helical elements and three loops (D, anti-codon, and T loops). The record is from RNAcentral. Lineage: Bacteria; Pseudomonadati; Acidobacteriota.
GGCGACGUCGCCAAGUGGUAAGGCAGAAGUCUGCAAAACUUCCAUUCACCAGUUCGAAUCUGGUCGUCGCCUCCA